GACGAACGCUGGCGGCGUGCCUAAUACAUGCAAGUCGAACGAGAGCGACCGGUGCUUGCACUGGUCAAUCUAGUGGCGAACGGGUGAGUAACACGUGGGUAACCUGCCCAUCAGAGGGGGAUAACAUUCAGAAACGGAUGCUAAAACCGCAUAGGUCUUCGAACCGCAUGGUUUGAAGAGGAAAAGAGGCGCAAGCUUCUGCUGAUGGAUGGACCCGCGGUGCAUUAGCUAGUUGGUGAGGUAACGGCUCACCAAGGCCGUGACGCAUAGCCGACCUGAGAGGGUGAUCGGCCACAUUGGGACUGAGACACGGCCCAAACUCCUACGGGAGGCAGCAGUAGGGAAUCUUCCGCAAUGGACGCAAGUCUGACGGAGCAACGCCGCGUGAGUGAAGAAGGUUUUCGGAUCGUAAAACUCUGUUGUUAGAGAAGAACAAGUGCUAGAGUAACUGUUAGCGCCUUG
This 462-nucleotide ribosomal RNA is filed under the name Granulicatella adiacens. RNAcentral's name for it is "bacterial SSU rRNA". It matches the Rfam family "Bacterial small subunit ribosomal RNA", at positions 28 to 471 of the family's 1533-position model. The record is from RNAcentral. Lineage: Bacteria; Bacillati; Bacillota; Bacilli; Lactobacillales; Carnobacteriaceae.